This 506-nucleotide ribosomal RNA is filed under the name uncultured bacterium. RNAcentral describes it as "bacterial SSU rRNA". It matches the Rfam family "Bacterial small subunit ribosomal RNA", at positions 32 to 524 of the family's 1533-position model. The record is from RNAcentral.
CAAAAGCACGGGCGGCAUGCUUUACCAUGCAAGUCUAACGGCAGCACGGAAGAGCUUGCUCUUUUGGUGGCGAGUGGCGAACGGGUGAGUAACAUAUCGGAACGUACCGAGUAGUGGGGGAUAACCAAUCGAAAGAUUGGCUAAUAGCGCAUAUUCUCUGAGGAGGAAAGCUGGGGACCAUUUGGCCUGGCGCUAUUUGAGCGGCCGAUAUCUGAUUAGCUUGUUGGUGGGGUAAAGGCCUACCAAGGCGACGAUCAGUAGCGGGUCUGAGAGGAUGAUCCGCCACACUGGGACUGAGACACGGCCCAGACUCCUACGGGAGGCAGCAGUGGGGAAUUUUGGACAAUGGGGAGAACCCUGAUCCAGCCAUGCCGCGUGUAUGAAGAAGGCCUUCGGGUUGUAAAGUACUUUUGUCAGGGAAGAAAAGCACGGUGUUAAUGCCAUUGUGUGAUGACGGUACCUGAAGAAUAAGCACCGGCUAACUACGUGCCAGCAGCCGCGGUAAU